Molecule: non-coding RNA, 768 nt
Organism: Chlorocebus sabaeus (green monkey)
Lineage: Eukaryota; Metazoa; Chordata; Mammalia; Primates; Cercopithecidae
Source: the annotation of a RefSeq genome assembly
CAAAUAUGUAAAAAUGAAAUUAGAUGAUGACUGCUAAAUGAAUAUCAAGGCACAAUCACAUAAUAUGAAAUUAUAUUUUCCUGAAUGAUAGGAUUACUACCAAUCUCCCCCAGGACACCCUCAUCUACUGUGUGCACAGCCCUCUCCUGAGGCGUCACACCCCUGAGCUUGCUAUAUAGUAGGAGACAUGCAAAUAAGACCCCCCUUUGGGUGAUGAAAAGCAGCCCAGCCCUGACCCUGCAGCUCUGGGAGAGGAGACCCAGCCUUGGGAUUUCCAGCUGUCUUCACUUGGUGAUCGGCACUGAACACAGGAGACUCACCAUGGAUUUUGUACUGAGCUGGGUUUUCCUUGUUGCAAUUUUAAAAGGUGUCCAGUGUGAGGUGCAGCUGGUGGAGUCUGGGGGAGGCUUGGUCCAGCCUGGAGGGUCCCUGAGACUCUCCUGUGCAGCCUCUGGAUUCACCUUCAGUGAUUAUGCCAUGAGCUGGGUCCGCCAGGUUUCUGGGAAGGGCCUGGAGUGGGUUGGCUAUAUUAGAAGCAAAUCUAACAAUUACGAGACAGAAUACGCCGCAUCGGUGAAAGGCAGAUUCACUAUCUCAAGAGAUGAUUCAAAGAACACACUGUAUCUGCAAAUGAGCAGCCUGAAAACCGAGGACACGGCCGUGUAUUACUGUACUAGGGACACAGUGAGGCGAGGUCAGUGUGAGCCCAGACACAAACCUCCCUGCAGGGGCGCGCGGGGCCUCCAGGGGGCGCUCGGGACCCACUGA